This 550-nucleotide ribosomal RNA is filed under the name uncultured bacterium. RNAcentral describes it as "bacterial SSU rRNA". It matches the Rfam family "Bacterial small subunit ribosomal RNA", at positions 355 to 896 of the family's 1533-position model. The record is from RNAcentral.
UAGGGAAUCUUCGGCGAUGGGGGGAACCCUGACCGAGCAACGCCGCGUGAGUGAAGAAGGUUUUCGGAUCGUAAAGCUCUGUUGUUAAGGAAGAACGAGUGUGAGAAUGGAAAGUUCAUACUGUGACGGUACUUAACCAGAAAGGGACGGCUAACUACGUGCCAGCAGCCGCGGUAAUACGUAGGUCCCGAGCGUUGUCCGGAUUUAUUGGGCGUAAAGCGAGCGCAGGCGGUUAGAUAAGUCUGAAGUUAAAGGCAGUGGCUCAACCAUUGUAGGCUUUGGAAACUGUUUAACUUGAGUGCAGAAGGGGAGAGUGGAAUUCCAUGUGUAGCGGUGAAAUGCGUAGAUAUAUGGAGGAACACCGGUGGCGAAAGCGGCUCUCUGGUCUGUAACUGACGCUGAGGCUCGAAAGCGUGGGGAGCGAACAGGAUUAGAUACCCUGGUAGUCCACGCCGUAAACGAUGAGUGCUAGGUGUUAGGUCCUUUCCGGGACUUAGUGCCGCAGCUAACGCAUUAAGCACUCCGCCUGGGGAGUACGACCGCAAGGUUG